CAAAGGCAUGGUCCCGACCUUAUUAUCAGCUCUAACUCAACUUACACAUGCAAGUCUCCGCGACCCUGUGAGUAUGCCCUUAAUCCCCUGCCCGGGGACGAGGAGCGGGUAUCAGGCACAAGUUUUUGCCCAAGACGCCUGGCCAAGCCACACCCCCAAGGGAAUUCAGCAGUGAUAGAUAUUGAGCCAUAAGUGAAAACUUGACUCAGUCAGAGCUAAAAGGGCCGGUAAAACUCGUGCCAGCCACCGCGGUUAAACGAGAGGCCCUAGUUGAUGAUUGACGGCGUAAAGGGUGGUUAGGGGGUGUAAUGUAAUAAAGCCGAAUGGCCCCUUGGCUGUCAUACGCUUCUGGGUGUCCGAAGUCCAACAUACGAAAGUAGCUUUAAAAGAGUCCACCUGACGCCACGAAAGCUGAGAAACAAACUGGGAUUAGAUACCCCACUAUGCUCAGUCAUAAACCUAGACGUCCUACUACAGCUAGACGUCCGCCCGGGUACUACGAGCGCUUGGCUUGAAACCCAAAGGACCUGACGGUGCCUCAGACCCCCCUAGAGGAGCCUGUUCUAGAACCGAUAACCCCCGUUAAACCUCACCACUUCUAGCCACCCCAGCCUAUAUACCGCCGUCGUCAGCUUACCCUGUGAAGGUAAUAAAAGUAAGCAGAAUGGGCACAACCCAGAACGUCAGGUCGAGGUGUAGCGCACGGAGCGGGAAGAAAUGGGCUACAUUUUCUAUAAUAGAAUAUUACGAAUAUGCAACAUGAAAUAGUGCUUGAAGGAGGAUUUAGUAGUAAAAAGGAAGCAGAGUGUCCUUUUGAACCCGGCUCUGAGGCGCGUACACACCGCCCGUCACCCUCUCCUGUCGAAUGCAAUAAAAAUACCUAAUACCAACGCGCUGACAAGGGGAGGCAAGUCGUAACAUGGUAAGUGUACCGGAAGGUGCACUUGGAUUAAAUU
Molecule: non-coding RNA, 956 nt
Filed under: Phoxinus phoxinus (Eurasian minnow)
Lineage: Eukaryota; Metazoa; Chordata; Actinopteri; Cypriniformes; Leuciscidae
Description: 12S ribosomal RNA
Rfam family: Bacterial small subunit ribosomal RNA
Source: RNAcentral